Molecule: ribosomal RNA, 443 nt
Filed under: uncultured bacterium
Lineage: Bacteria
Description: bacterial SSU rRNA
Rfam family: Bacterial small subunit ribosomal RNA
Source: RNAcentral
CCUACGGGAGGCUGCAGUGGGGAAUAUUGCACAAUGGGGGAAACCCUGAUGCAGCGACGCCGCGUGAAGGAAGAAGGUUUUCGGAUCGUAAACUUCUAUCAGCAGGGGAGAAGGAAGUGACAGUACCUGACUAAGAAGCCCCGGCUAACUACGUGACAGCAGCCGCGGUAAUCAGAAGGGGGCAAGCGUUAUCCGGAAUCAGUGGGUGUAAAGGGUGCGAAGGCGGUAGGGCAAGUCAGAUGUGAAAGACCGGGGGUCAACCCCGGGAUUGCAUUUGAAACUGUCUUACUAGUAUUCAGGAGAGGAAAGCGGAAUUCCUAGUGUAGCGGUGAAAUUCGUAGAUAUUAGGAAGAACACCAGUGGCGAAGGCGGCUUUCUGGACUGUAACUGACGCUGAGGCACGAAAGCGGGGGGAGCGAACAGGAUUAGAUACCCGUGUAGUG